GCAUUAGAGCUAGAAUAUUCCUUACUUCGCCAACAUAUUACCUCACAGAGUUCACUUCCCACAACAGAUGAGAUUUUCUCUUGAGCUCUUCGUUCGACCCCCGCCGAAAAGAUCUCCACCACAACUAUGGAGACAAUUGCUAUGAUUUCUCAUGGCACUAAUGCACAUGGAGCUCAUGGUCAUAGUUAUAAGGGUCAUGGCCAUGGUUUUACUUAGAGUGAGGUUGUAGACGUCGUGAUAGAGGUAUUGGUGCUCGUAGUGCCUCUAUCUCCGGUGGUGGUCGUGGCUCCCGUUGCUGUAAUGAUUGUUAAAGGGCUGGACAUAUAGAGGCUUAUUGUUAUACACUUCAUCCGGAAUUCCGACCUAAUUUUAUUGAUUAUGCAGAGGUGGAACAGACUCCACCAAACUCUACUUUUACCCCUAACAGACUCCACUAGACUUUGCUAGUGUGUGGAACACGAGUGGUUCGUUUACAUUGACAGGUGCUGAGUAUGAUGCAUGGGUUCACUCCCAAUAGGUGACAAGUCCUUCAGCUCCUACCGCAACUCUGGGACAAACAUCAAAAGGAUCUAAGGAAUGGACAGAUGAUUAGUGGGGGACAUGAAUCCAAUGGUCCGUAUUACCCGAACAAGAAGGUGCAAGCUGCUCUGAUUAUGAAAAUGCACAUCCUCUAAUGUGUUUAGGAUGCAUUGUUGUGCUGGUCAUUUGCCACCGAACACUCUUCGGCGUUUAUUUCUUGAGUCCGAGUCUAUGAGUUCUUUUCAAUGUGAAGCUUGUCGGUUUGGUAAAUAUCAUAAGGUUUCUUUUCCUUCUCCUUUUCUUCUU
Molecule: long non-coding RNA, 825 nt
Organism: Rhodamnia argentea
Lineage: Eukaryota; Viridiplantae; Streptophyta; Magnoliopsida; Myrtales; Myrtaceae
Exons: 3
Source: RefSeq, a predicted model, not a curated record